This is a non-coding RNA of Myotis lucifugus (little brown bat), 71 nucleotides long. Lineage: Eukaryota; Metazoa; Chordata; Mammalia; Chiroptera; Vespertilionidae. The record is from Rfam.
CCUGGCCUAGCUCAGUUGGUUAAAGCAUUGUCCUGAUAAGCCAAGGUUGUGGGUUCAAUCCCAGGUCAGAG